RNAcentral lists this ribosomal RNA (338 nucleotides) under uncultured Enterobacteriaceae bacterium. Its description in RNAcentral is "bacterial SSU rRNA". It matches the Rfam family "Bacterial small subunit ribosomal RNA", at positions 355 to 686 of the family's 1533-position model. The record is from RNAcentral. Lineage: Bacteria; Pseudomonadati; Pseudomonadota; Gammaproteobacteria; Enterobacterales; Enterobacteriaceae.
UGGGGAAUAUUGCACAAUGGGCGCAAGCCUGAUGCAGCCAUGCCGCGUGUAUGAAGAAGGCCUUCGGGUUGUAAAGUACUUUCAGCGGGGAGAAGGCGUUGUGGUUAAUAACCACAGCGAUUGACGUUACCGCAGAAGAAGCACCGGCUGAAACUCCGUGCCAGCAGCCGCGGUAAUACGGAGGGUGCAAGCGUUAAUCGGAAUUACUGGGCGUAAAGCGCACGCAGGCGGUCUGUCAAGUCGGAUGUGAAAUCCCCGGGCUCAACCUGGGAACUGCAUUCGAAACUGGCAGGCUAGAGUCUUGUAGAGGGGGUAGAAUUCCAGGUGUAGCGGUGAAA